This 288-nucleotide ribosomal RNA is filed under the name uncultured bacterium. RNAcentral describes it as "partial 16S ribosomal RNA". It matches the Rfam family "Bacterial small subunit ribosomal RNA", at positions 773 to 1060 of the family's 1533-position model. The record is from RNAcentral.
GUGGAUUAGAUACCCUGGUAGUCCACGCCGUAAACGGUGGGUACUAGGUGUGGGUUUCCUUCCUUGGGAUCCGUGCCGUAGCUAACGCAUUAAGUACCCCGCCUGGGGAGUACGGCCGCAAGGCUAAAACUCAAAGGAAUUGACGGGGGCCCGCACAAGCGGCGGAGCAUGUGGAUUAAUUCGAUGCAACGCGAAGAACCUUACCUGGGUUUGACAUGCACAGGACGCCGGCAGAGAUGUCGGUUCCCUUGUGGCCUGUGUGCAGGUGGUGCAUGGCCGUCGCCAGCU